GAUGAACGCUGGCGGCGUGCCUAAUACAUGCAAGUCGAGCGAACAGACGAGGAGUUUGCUCCUCUGACGUUAUCGGCGGACGGGUGAGUAACACGUGGAUAACCUACCUCUAAGACAGGGAGAACAUUGGGAAACCGGAGCUAAUACCGGAUAAUAUAUUGAACCGCAUGGUUCAAUAGUGAAAUACGGUUUUGCUGUCACUUAUAGAUUGAUCCGCGCUGCAUCAGCUAGUUGGUAAGGUAACGGCUUACCAAGGCAACGAUGGGUAACCGACCAGAGAGGGUGAUCGGCAGCACUGGAACGAAGACAGGGUCCAGAAUCCUGCGAGAGGCAGACGGAGAGGAUCCUCCGCGAUGGGCGAAAGCGUGACGGUGCAACAGCGGGUGAAGGAUGAAGGUCUUCGGGUCGUAAAACUCUGUUAUUCGGGAAGGACAUAAGUGUCAGUAACUAUGCAAGUCUUGGCGGUACCUAGUCAAAAAGCCCCGGCUAACUUCGUG
This 497-nucleotide ribosomal RNA is filed under the name uncultured bacterium. RNAcentral's name for it is "partial 16S ribosomal RNA". It matches the Rfam family "Bacterial small subunit ribosomal RNA", at positions 28 to 507 of the family's 1533-position model. The record is from RNAcentral.